CGGGUGAGUAACGCGUGGGUAACCUGCCUCAUACAGGGGGAUAACAGUUAGAAAUGACUGCUAAUACCGCAUAAGCGCACAGUGCUGCAUGGCACAGUGUGAAAAACUCCGGUGGUAUGAGAUGGACCCGCGUCUGAUUAGCUAGUUGGUGGGGUAACGGCCUACCAAGGCGACGAUCAGUAGCCGGCCUGAGAGGGUGAACGGCCACAUUGGGACUGGGACACGGCCCAA
This 231-nucleotide ribosomal RNA is filed under the name uncultured bacterium. RNAcentral's name for it is "partial 16S ribosomal RNA". It matches the Rfam family "Bacterial small subunit ribosomal RNA", at positions 103 to 334 of the family's 1533-position model. The record is from RNAcentral.